Molecule: non-coding RNA, 1182 nt
Organism: Oncorhynchus mykiss (rainbow trout)
Lineage: Eukaryota; Metazoa; Chordata; Actinopteri; Salmoniformes; Salmonidae
Source: RefSeq, a predicted model, not a curated record
GUACAAAACUAACCACGCUGCAUUUUGGUCCGCCUCUCUUUCACCAGAAGAAAACCGUUACACUAUUGGAGUUGUGGGAGAAAUUAGGUACAUAUAUGGAUAAAUAUACUGUCCUAUAUAAAAGAGGGAUGCAUUUGCCAUUCUGGUAAGGUACAUUGUCUAUUGUAUAGGACAGGAAGCCAGAGUGGGGCCAUGGGAGAGGGCAACACAUAGACGCCUAGGGCAGCUGGACAUACAAAGGUCAGAGGUUGUCUAAGGAGGGGGUCAGCCAAAGGACCAAUUGAUGGAUUACAGACAUCAAUCACAUCACAGGAGACAAGUCUGUUUGAUCUUAGACAACCAUAUGAAGAGAAGGCGACCAGAACAGCUAGGCACCCUAAAGCUAAAGGAGAUGAAAGACACCGAAAGGGACACAUGGAGUUAAUUACAGGGUAUGAACACAGGCCACAGGAAAGGGGAAUGUAUAGUAUUUUUAGUAUAGCUGAGCAUGCUAAAAACAGAAGAGACACAUAGUCUGCUGACCCUAGAUAACACACAAACAGGAGAACGCAUUAAGCUGAGUGAAGGGUCAAAGCAAGGGUCUUGUCACCAUUAGGAUCUAAUGGAAAGCAGAUGAGGGCGUUAUUGGGCUGAACAAGCAGGAAGCACGGAUUGGGAUGUAACUUAAUUUGCAUAUGGGAGGGACUUAUAUGGUAGGUGUAUAACUCAGAGCGAGGGCUCUGAAAAAGUGUGUGUGUUCCGCGGACCGCUCCGGCUUAUGAUACUGUUGUAUUAAAAGUCUAUAUUGAUUUUCACAAAGUUCUUGGUUGUGUCAUAUUUGAACCGAUUUGCCACUACAGACUUGGCGAGCUUGCCAGGAGAAUUAGGGACUGAAUAACGUUCUUGGCUGGCAGCGGGAUCUUUGGACGAUCUGGGCAAACAAGCUAAGGUAAGACAACAGUGAAAUGUUUGCGUAGAUCGCUUCAGAGAUCCUGCCUCAGCAAGAGGAGCGUCAAGUAGGUCUCUCUCUCUCAAAUUUCCUAAAAACUAUAGAAACUAAAGAACUUUUUGAAAUUCAAUGAAUUUGCAUGCAUGUGUGUAAGCUUGGAAAUUGUAUAAUGAAUGUGCAUGCAUGUCUAGUGAGUAAGUAGGUGGGGGCUGUGAACUUCGCUGGGCUACAGCUACCUGCUUAUAAGGUUUGAA